UGGGGAAUUUUGGACAAUGGGCGAAAGCCUGAUCCCAGCAAUGCCGCGUGUGUGAAGAAGGCCUUCGGGUUGUAAAGCACUUUUGUCCGGAAAGAAAUCCUUGGCUCUAAUACAGUCGGGGGAUGACGGUACCGGAAGAAUAAGCACCGGCUAACUACGUGCCAGCAGCCGCGGUAAUACGUAGGGUGCAAGCGUUAAUCGGAAUUACUGGGCGUAAAGCGUGCGCAGGCGGUUUGCUAAGACCGAUGUGAAAUCCCCGGGCUCAACCUGGGAACUGCAUUGGUGACUGGCAGGCUAGAGUAUGGCAGAGGGGGGUAGAAUUCCACGUGUAGCAGUGAAAUGCGUAGAGAUGUGGAGGAAUACCGAUGGCGAAGGCAGCCCCCUGGGCCAAUACUGACGCCUCAUGCACAGAAGCGUGGGGAGCAAACAGGAUUAGAUACCCUGGUAGUCCACGCCCUAAACGAUGUCAACUAGUUGUUGGGGAUUCAUUUCCUUAGUAACGUAGCUAACGCGUGAAGUUGACCGCCUGGGGAGUACGGUCGCAAGAUUAAAACUUAAAUGAAUUGACGGGGUCAUAGCUGUUUCCU
RNAcentral lists this ribosomal RNA (587 nucleotides) under uncultured bacterium. RNAcentral describes it as "partial 16S ribosomal RNA". It matches the Rfam family "Bacterial small subunit ribosomal RNA", at positions 355 to 1375 of the family's 1533-position model. The record is from RNAcentral.